This 270-nucleotide unclassified non-coding RNA is filed under the name Glomus sp. RNAcentral's name for it is "partial contains 5.8S ribosomal RNA and internal transcribed spacer 2". The stretch from base 1 to 65 matches the Rfam family "5.8S ribosomal RNA", at positions 84 to 154 of the family's 154-position model. Lineage: Eukaryota; Fungi; Glomeromycota; Glomeromycetes; Glomerales; Glomeraceae. The record is from RNAcentral.
GUGAAUCAUCGAAUUUUUGAACGCAAAUUGCACUCUCUUCUGUGAGUAUGCCUGUUUGUGGUUCAGCCUAAGAAAAAUCGACAUAUUCGCUGUUUCGCGGUUUCUUUCGUUUGCAGUUUUGUCAUCUUAAACCUUUUUGUUUUAAGCGGCUUAAAAUUUUCUUUACGUUUCCACUAACUUUUCUAACAUUUACUUACUCUUUUAAUGUAUCGAUCUUUAUUAGACGUGGCCGUUUCAUCGGAUCGCGUCCAUAUAUAUUUCGUUAACUUA